This 111-nucleotide non-coding RNA is filed under the name uncultured Sporosarcina sp. Its description in RNAcentral is "SAM riboswitch (S box leader)". It matches the Rfam family "SAM riboswitch aptamer (S box leader)". Rfam says of the family: The SAM riboswitch is found upstream of a number of genes which code for proteins involved in methionine or cysteine biosynthesis in Gram-positive bacteria. The SAM riboswitch acts at the level of transcription termination control. The record is from RNAcentral. Lineage: Bacteria; Bacillati; Bacillota; Bacilli; Caryophanales; Caryophanaceae.
UCUUAUCCCGAGCUGGUGGAGGGACAGGCCCUAUGAAACCCGGCAACCUGCGCAGGAACUUCUGCGAGAAGGUGCCAACCUGGAGCAAGGUUAAAUCCUUGGACGAUAAGA